GACGAACGCUGGCGGUGUGCUUAAUACAUGCAAGUCGAACGUGAAGCUACCUUCGGGUAGUGGAAAGUGGCGGACGGGUGAGUAACACGUAGGUAAUCUGCCUUAAGGUGGGGGACAACGUUGGGAAACUGACGCUAAUACCCCAUAUGUGGCGAGUUGAAAUACUUGUCAUGAAAGUUCCGGCGCCUUAAGAUGAGCCUGCGGCUGAUUAGUUAGUUGGUGAGGUAAUGGCUUACCAAGACUAUGAUCAGUAGCUGGUCUGAGAGGAUGAUCAGCCACAAUGGGACUGAGACACGGCCCAUACUCCUACGGGAGGCAGCAGUAGGGAAUUUUGCGCAAUGGGCGAAAGCCUGACGCAGCAACACCGCGUGAGUGAUGAAGCAUCUUGGUGUGUAAAACUCUGUCAGAGGGGACGAAUUUUGACGGUACCCUCAAAGGAAGCAUCGGCUAACUACGUGCCAGCAGCCGCGGUAAGACGUAGGAUGCAAGCGUUGUCCGGAAUUAUUGGGCGUAAAGAGUUCGUAGGCGGCAUGUAAAGUCUGGUGUUAAAGCCCGGAGCUCAACUCCGGUUCGGCAUUGGAUACUUACAAGCUAGAAUGCAGAAGAGGCAAAGGGAAUUCCUAGUGUAGCGGUGAAAUGCGUAGAUAUUAGGAGGAACACCGGUGGCGUAAGCGCUUUGCUGGUCUGUUAUUGACGCUGAGGAACGAAAGCCAGGGGAGCAAAUGGGAUUAGAUACCCCAGUAGUCCUGGCCGUAAACGAUGGAUACUAGGUGUUGUAGGUAUCGACCCCUGCAGUGCUGCAGCU
Molecule: ribosomal RNA, 805 nt
Filed under: uncultured bacterium
Lineage: Bacteria
Description: bacterial SSU rRNA
Rfam family: Bacterial small subunit ribosomal RNA
Source: RNAcentral